GACGAACGCUGGCGGCGUGCCUAAUACAUGCAAGUUGAGCGCUGAAGGUUGGUACUUGUACCAACUGGAUGAGCAGCGAACGGGUGAGUAACGCGUGGGGAAUCUGCCUUUGAGCGGGGGACAACAUUUGGAAACGAAUGCUAAUACCGCAUAAAAACUUUAAACACAAGUUUUAAGUUUGAAAGAUGCAAUUGCAUCACUCAAAGAUGAUCCCGCGUUGUAUUAGCUAGUUGGUGAGGUAAAGGCUCACCAAGGCGAUGAUACAUAGCCGACCUGAGAGGGUGAUCGGCCACAUUGGGACUGAGACACGGCCCAAACUCCUACGGGAGGCAGCAGGAGGGAAUCUUCGGCAAUGGACGAAAGUCUGACCGAGCAACGCCGCGUGAGUGAAGAAGGGUUUCGGAUCGUAAAACUCUGUUGGUAGAGAAGAACGUUGGUGAGAGUGGAAAGCUCAUCAAGUGACGGUAACUACCCAGAAAGGGACGGCUAACUACGUG
This 497-nucleotide ribosomal RNA is filed under the name uncultured bacterium. Its description in RNAcentral is "partial 16S ribosomal RNA". It matches the Rfam family "Bacterial small subunit ribosomal RNA", at positions 28 to 507 of the family's 1533-position model. The record is from RNAcentral.